RNAcentral lists this ribosomal RNA (1349 nucleotides) under Escherichia coli O26:H11. RNAcentral describes it as "bacterial LSU rRNA". It matches the Rfam family "Bacterial large subunit ribosomal RNA", at positions 1489 to 2818 of the family's 2925-position model. The record is from RNAcentral. Lineage: Bacteria; Pseudomonadati; Pseudomonadota; Gammaproteobacteria; Enterobacterales; Enterobacteriaceae.
GGCCGGGCGACGGUUGUCCCGGUUUAAGCGUGUAGGCUGGUUUUCCAGGCAAAUCCGGAAAACUAAGGCUGAGGCGUGAUGACGAGGCACUACGGUGCUGAAGCAACAAAUGCCCUGCUUCCAGGAAAAGCCUCUAAGCAUCAGGUAACAUCAAAUCGUACCCCAAACCGACACAGGUGGUCAGGUAGAGAAUACCAAGGCGCUUGAGAGAACUCGGGUGAAGGAACUAGGCAAAAUGGUGCCGUAACUUCGGGAGAAGGCACGCUGAUAUGUAGGUGAAGUCCCUCGCGGAUGGAGCUGAAAUCAGUCGAAGAUACCAGCUGGCUGCAACUGUUUAUUAAAAACACAGCACUGUGCAAACACGAAAGUGGACGUAUACGGUGUGACGCCUGCCCGGUGCCGGAAGGUUAAUUGAUGGGGUUAGCGCAAGCGAAGCUCUUGAUCGAAGCCCCGGUAAACGGCGGCCGUAACUAUAACGGUCCUAAGGUAGCGAAAUUCCUUGUCGGGUAAGUUCCGACCUGCACGAAUGGCGUAAUGAUGGCCAGGCUGUCUCCACCCGAGACUCAGUGAAAUUGAACUCGCUGUGAAGAUGCAGUGUACCCGCGGCAAGACGGAAAGACCCCGUGAACCUUUACUAUAGCUUGACACUGAACAUUGAGCCUUGAUGUGUAGGAUAGGUGGGAGGCUUUGAAGUGUGGACGCCAGUCUGCAUGGAGCCGACCUUGAAAUACCACCCUUUAAUGUUUGAUGUUCUAACGUUGACCCGUAAUCCGGGUUGCGGACAGUGUCUGGUGGGUAGUUUGACUGGGGCGGUCUCCUCCUAAAGAGUAACGGAGGAGCACGAAGGUUGGCUAAUCCUGGUCGGACAUCAGGAGGUUAGUGCAAUGGCAUAAGCCAGCUUGACUGCGAGCGUGACGGCGCGAGCAGGUGCGAAAGCAGGUCAUAGUGAUCCGGUGGUUCUGAAUGGAAGGGCCAUCGCUCAACGGAUAAAAGGUACUCCGGGGAUAACAGGCUGAUACCGCCCAAGAGUUCAUAUCGACGGCGGUGUUUGGCACCUCGAUGUCGGCUCAUCACAUCCUGGGGCUGAAGUAGGUCCCAAGGGUAUGGCUGUUCGCCAUUUAAAGUGGUACGCGAGCUGGGUUUAGAACGUCGUGAGACAGUUCGGUCCCUAUCUGCCGUGGGCGCUGGAGAACUGAGGGGGGCUGCUCCUAGUACGAGAGGACCGGAGUGGACGCAUCACUGGUGUUCGGGUUGUCAUGCCAAUGGCACUGCCCGGUAGCUAAAUGCGGAAGAGAUAAGUGCUGAAAGCAUCUAAGCACGAAACUUGCCCCGAGAUGAGUUCUCCCUGA